Molecule: ribosomal RNA, 430 nt
Filed under: uncultured bacterium
Lineage: Bacteria
Description: bacterial SSU rRNA
Rfam family: Bacterial small subunit ribosomal RNA
Source: RNAcentral
UAGGGAAUUUUCCACAAUGGGCGAAAGCCUGAUGGAGCGACGCCGCGUGAGGGAUGAAGGUCUUCGGAUUGUAAACCUCUUUGGAGUGGGAAGAACGGCAUGGGUGUUAACAGCGCCCGUGCGUGACGGUACCACUAGAACAAGACACGGCUAACUUCGUGCCAGCAGCCGCGGUAAUACGAAGGUGUCAAACGUUGUCCGGAAUUACUGGGCGUAAAGGGCGCGUAGGCGGCUUGAUAAGUCAGAUGUGAAAGCUCAGGGCUUAACCCUGGAAUUGCAUCUGAUACUGUUGAGCUUGAGUUCGGUAGAGGAGGGCGGAAUUCCAGGUGUAGCGGUGAAAUGCGUAGAUAUCUGGAGGAACACCCGUGGCGAAGGCGGCUCUCUGGUCCGAUACUGACGCUGAGGUGCGAAAGCUAGGGUAGCAAACAGG